RNAcentral lists this ribosomal RNA (491 nucleotides) under uncultured bacterium. Its description in RNAcentral is "partial 16S ribosomal RNA". It matches the Rfam family "Bacterial small subunit ribosomal RNA", at positions 29 to 507 of the family's 1533-position model. The record is from RNAcentral.
GUGAACGCUGGCGGUAGGCCUCACACCUGCCAGUCGCACGGCAGCACAGUAAGAGCUUGCUCUUACGGGUGGCGAGUGGCGGACGGGUGAGGAAUACAUCGGAAUCUACUUUUUCGUGGGGGAUAACGUAGGGAAACUUACGCUAAUACCGCAUACGACCUACGGGUGAAAGCAGGGGAUCUUCGGACCUUGCGCGAUUGAAUGAGCCGAUGUCGGAUUAGCUAGUUGGCGGGGUAAAGGCCCACCAAGGCGACGAUCCGUAGCUGGUCUGAGAGGAUGAUCAGCCACACUGGAACUGAGACACGGUCCAGACUCCUACGGGAGGCAGCAGUGGGGAAUAUUGGACAAUGGGCGCAAGCCUGAUCCAGCCAUACCGCGUGGGUGAAGAAGGCCUUCGGGUUGUAAAGCCCUUUUGUUGGGAAAGAAAAGCAGCAGGUUAAUACCCCGCUGUUCUGACGGUACCCAAAGAAUAAGCACCGGCUAACUUCGUG